GCUAGCAUGGUAUAGUGGUUUGAGCACUGGACUAUGACUCUGGAGACCAAGGAUCAAAUCCCUGCAUGGUCA
This is a non-coding RNA of Phrynosoma platyrhinos (Desert horned lizard), 72 nucleotides long. The record is from the annotation of a GenBank genome assembly. Lineage: Eukaryota; Metazoa; Chordata; Lepidosauria; Squamata; Phrynosomatidae.